Long non-coding RNA from Alnus glutinosa, 1484 nucleotides. RefSeq lists it as uncharacterized. The record is from RefSeq and is a predicted model, not a curated record. The transcript has 3 exons. NCBI's taxonomy places the organism in Eukaryota, Viridiplantae, Streptophyta, Magnoliopsida, Fagales, Betulaceae.
GAGCCUUAUCUCAGAAAAAGGGAAAAAGAGGCAGUAUGCCUCUUGACCUGUGAAGAAAAAUAAAAAGAGGAAAGAAUGAGGAUUUCUCAUUUCAUCUUUACGAAAAUCUUUGAUUUAAGAAGAUCCGACGGUCCAAUCUUCGAUCCGUCUUCGGAAACGUAAUCCUAACACUCGGAUCUACAUUUCUACCGAUCAUUUUGAGGCUUUGUGUUAUUUGGAGCUUGCAAAGAUUCUCCAAACACCGGGUAUUAUUUGGGUAAAUUUUUGGCUAUACCUGCUGGAUUAUUUGACGGUACUUUUCAUGUUCCGAAACUUAAUGGCAGUAAUUUUACUGAAUGGAAAGAGAACUUGCUCUUUACAUUAAGGUGUUUGGAAUUAGACCUGGCACUCCAGACGGAUGAACCACCCGCUUUAACGGCUACUAGUACUGCACUAGAGAUGGCUAAACAUGAAAGGUGGGAGCGAUCCAAUCGCCUCAGCUUAAUGUUUAUGCAAUCUCACAUUGCCAAAGGCAUUAGGGGUUCCAUCCCUGAAUGUUCUAAGGCUAAAGAUUUUUUGAAAGCCGUUGAAGCACAGUUUGUGAGUUCAACUAAAGCCAUGGCCAGCACUCUAAUGAAGAGACUAUCAAGUUAAGACUUUGAUAGUUCCAAAGGUGUGCGUGAGCACAUCAUGAAAAUGAGGGAUAUAGCAGCUCAAUUAAAGUCCCUUGAGGUUGAGAUUUCCGAAUCCUAGAGGCCGGUCAGUUGUAUUCCUUGUCUUCCUCAAACAGAUUUCCUUCGGUUCAACGGUCUCACACCAGUGGAAUGAUGUUAGGUAGUAAUUAAAUAUGAAACUUCAAGAAUGUUUGUCCACGGUCAAAAAAGUACUAGAGAUGUGUUUGGUUUCAAUUUCUUGUCCCUCUCUUUUACAAAUUUAUCAUUAAAUAUAUAAAAUCUAUAUCUGGUCUAGAAAUUUAAUAGUGAAUUUGCACAUCUCUUAUACGGAAAUAGAGAAAAGAUGUGCAAGAGAAUGUACUCCUCAAAGUAUUAUUGCCAUGAACAACGCCAACCUCAGCUUCAAGUGGUCUUUAGCUGCUAUUAUUUGAUGAUGCAGAUGUCCCCCACUAUUGACAUUCCCACCUUCUGGCUUUCGAGUCAAGCUUCUCUAAGUUGGUUAAGCUGGUAUUUUAGUUAGUUAGUUACAUGGAUUUGUUAUUGAAGAGCUGAUGCUUUCUGUUAUUGUAUUUGUAUAAAGUUUCCUUUCAUUUCUUCCCUGUAUAUGUACAGAGUGUUAAGGAAAUGUUGUUAAAGGAACCGGAAAUGAUGUAAAAGGAACUAGAAAUGUUGAUUAAGGAACCACCUAGCUUGCUAUUCUUUUUACUAUUGAGCAACGGCUACUAGCCGUUACACAGCUCUGCAGAUUAUUUAUGUAAUUCUGUUAUUUUAUUCAUGUAAACAUAGUAUAAAUUGGUGUAUUGUUCCCCACUGUUUUGUAUAACUGAAGUU